CAGCCGCCACGGGAAUACGGAGGAUCCGAGCGUUAUCCGGAUUUAUUGGGUUUAAAGGGUGCGUAGGCGGCCUUGCAAGUCAGGGGUGAAAGACGGUAGCUUAACUAUCGCAGUGCCCUUGAUACUGCAGGGCUUGAAUGUACUUGAGGUAGGCGGAAUGUGACAAGUAGCGGUGAAAUGCAUAGAUAUGUCACAGAACACCAAUUGCGAAGGCAGCUUACUAAAGUAUGAUUGACGCUGAGGCACGAAAGCGUGGGGAUCAAACAGGAUUAGAUACCCCUGUAGUCCCUGUCUCUUAUAC
Molecule: ribosomal RNA, 301 nt
Filed under: uncultured bacterium
Lineage: Bacteria
Description: partial 16S ribosomal RNA
Rfam family: Bacterial small subunit ribosomal RNA
Source: RNAcentral